UACGGAGGUGGCGAGCGUUGCUCGGAUUUACUGGGUGUAAAGGGCACGUAGGCGGCCCGGUAAGCCCUACCUAAAAGGCUCUGGCUCAACCAGAGAUCGUGGUGGGGGACUGCCGGGCUUGAGGGCGGGAGAGGUGAGCGGAAUUCCCGGUGUAAGGGUGAAAUCUGUAGAUAUCGGGAGGAACACCAGUGGCGAAAGCGGCUCACUAGUCCGUUUCUGACGCUAAGGUGCGAAAGCUAGGGGAGCAAACAGG
RNAcentral lists this ribosomal RNA (253 nucleotides) under uncultured bacterium. RNAcentral describes it as "partial 16S ribosomal RNA". It matches the Rfam family "Bacterial small subunit ribosomal RNA", at positions 524 to 776 of the family's 1533-position model. The record is from RNAcentral.